This 83-nucleotide non-coding RNA is filed under the name chicken gut metagenome. Its description in RNAcentral is "HTH-XRE RNA". It matches the Rfam family "HTH-XRE RNA". The record is from RNAcentral.
GAUCAGCAUUAUGCCGGGGCAUAUAAGACAGGUAUGCAUCGGAACACCCGGCAGGAAGUACUUGCAAAGGUGAUUCCCUUUUC